This 879-nucleotide long non-coding RNA is filed under the name Lepisosteus oculatus (spotted gar). Its description in RNAcentral is "lncRNA (ENSLOCG00000022418.1)". The record is from RNAcentral. Lineage: Eukaryota; Metazoa; Chordata; Actinopteri; Semionotiformes; Lepisosteidae.
GCUUCCUGGUUUCAGCCCCUUUGCCCCUCGGGGGUCCUGCAGCCACGCCUCCGCCCAGUUUCUUAUUACCGUAAAACGUCCAAACUAAGCCCACAUUCAUUUCGGAAAAGGCAGCAGUGCAGUUCAUUCGGUUCGCCGGUACCUCAUUAGAAGACACCUAAGGAUGCGAGUCUCGGUUUUCCGGAAAAAUAAACCAACUGACAUUGGGUUUGCGGGCGAGGAUCUGUGAAAAACCGGACAUGAGCGAAUAGGACAUUGUGCAGCACUGUGAUCCUGUGGCCGGCUGGGACACAGCCUGCAGAAAUGGUAUCUGGGGGGAGAGCGGUGGAAGGGGGUCUGUACGCAAAGAGUGGUGGGUGUCCGGAAUCAGCCGCCCUCCUUGUCGCCGUGACGUUGAAUCAGAUCCUCCGUGUGCGCAAAUCGAGAAGGGAUCACGGGAGGUCUGCGGGGGCGGGGACGCGAGAUUUCCUGGAAGAGAUUGAAACUCCCGCCCAGCCGCCUGCCGGCUCAAUAAAAGAGCGAGGAGGGGAGGGCGGCUACACGCGAGCCGCACGGGCACGGAGGGACGCCGAGAGCCGGGAGAGAUUCGGGACGCUAGCCGAGCUGGGCGCUGCUGGGUGAUGUCUGUGGGUGAUGGGAGUCCUCCUGGCCCCCCUGGGGGAGGCCUGGACCUGCUGACUGGCGCCCUGCACCCCCUCCUGGACAGCCCCGCGCCCCCACAGGGUCCCCCCGCGCCGGGUCCCCCGCAGGGCUACACGAGUGCCAGCUGCCCGCUGGUGUGGCCUCCCUCCCAGCCCUGGGCCCAGGCGCCGCAGCAGCAGCAGCAGUGGGGGGGCGGGGGCCAGUUCCCGGGGCAGCAGGUGCGCCCGCCCGGUGGGG